This 26-nucleotide non-coding RNA is filed under the name Homo sapiens (human). The record is from RNAcentral. Lineage: Eukaryota; Metazoa; Chordata; Mammalia; Primates; Hominidae.
GACUAGACGUGACCUGGCAGAUUAGC